CCUACGGGCGGCAGCAGUGGGGAAUAUUGCACAAUGGGCGAAAGCCUGAUGCAGCAACGCCGCGUGAGCGAUGAAGGCCUUCGGGUCGUAAAGCUCUGUCCUCAAGGAAGAUAAUGACGGUACGUGAGGAGGAAGCCCCGGCUAACUACGUGCCAGCAGCCGCGGUAAUACGUAGGGGGCUAGCGUUAUCCGGAAUUACUGGGCGUAAAGGGUGCGUAGGUGGUUUCUUAAGUCAGAGGUGAAAGGCUACGGUUCAACCGUAGUAAGCCGUUGAAACUGGGAAACUUGAGUGCAGGAGAGGAGAGUGGAAUUCCUAGUGUAGCGGUGAAAUGCGUAGAUAUUAGGAGGAACACCAGUUGCGAAGGCGGCUCUCUGGACUGUAACUGACACUGAGGCACGAAAGCGUGGGGAGCAAACAGGAUUAGAUACCCUAGUAGUC
RNAcentral lists this ribosomal RNA (439 nucleotides) under uncultured bacterium. RNAcentral describes it as "partial 16S ribosomal RNA". It matches the Rfam family "Bacterial small subunit ribosomal RNA", at positions 338 to 795 of the family's 1533-position model. The record is from RNAcentral.